GAUGAACGCUGGCGGCGUGCCUAAUACAUGCAAGUCGAGCGAACAGACGAGAAGCUUGCUCCUCUGACGUUAGCGGCGGACGGGUGAGUAACACGUGGAUAACCUACCUAUAAGACUGGGAUAACUUCGGGAAACCGGAGCUAAUACCGGAUAACAUGUUGAACCGCAUGGUUCAACAGUGAAAGACGGUCUUGCUGUCACUUAUAGAUGGAUCCGCGCCGCAUUAGCUAGUUGGUAAGGUAACGGCUUACCAAGGCAACGAUGCGUAGCCGACCUGAGAGGGUGAUCGGCCAAACUGGAACUGAGACACGGUCCAGACUCCUACGGGAGGCAGCAGUAGGGAAUCUUCCGCAAUGGGCGAAAGCCUGACGGAGCAACGCCGCGUGAGUGAUGAAGGUCUUCGGAUCGUAAAACUCUGUUAUUAGGGAAGAACAAAUGUGUAAGUAACUAUGCACGUCUUGACGGUACCUAAUCAGAAAGCCACGGCUAACUACGUG
This 497-nucleotide ribosomal RNA is filed under the name uncultured bacterium. Its description in RNAcentral is "partial 16S ribosomal RNA". It matches the Rfam family "Bacterial small subunit ribosomal RNA", at positions 28 to 507 of the family's 1533-position model. The record is from RNAcentral.